GAUGAACGCUGGCGGCGUGCCUAAUACAUGCAAGUCGAGCGAACAGACGAGGAGCUUGCUCCUCUGACGUUAGCGGCGGACGGGUGAGUAACACGUGGAUAACCUACCUAUAAGACUGGGAUAACUUCGGGAAACCGGAGCUAAUACCGGAUAAUAUAUUGAACCGCAUGGUUCAAUAGUGAAAGACGGUUUUGCUGUCACUUAUAGAUGGAUCCGCGCCGCAUUAGCUAGUUGGUAAGGUAACGGCUUACCAAGGCAACGAUGCGUAGCCGACCGGAGAGGGGGAUCGGCCACCCUGGAACUGAGACACGGUCCAGACUCCUACGGGAGGCAGCAGUAGGGAAUCUUCCGCAAUGGGCGAAAGCUUGACGGAGCAACGCCGCGUGAGUGAUGAAGGUCUUCGGAUCGUAAAACUCUGUUAUUAGGGAAGAACAAAUGUGUAAGUAACUAUGCACGUCUUGACGGUACCUAAUCAGAAAGCCACGGCUAACUACGUG
Molecule: ribosomal RNA, 497 nt
Filed under: uncultured bacterium
Lineage: Bacteria
Description: partial 16S ribosomal RNA
Rfam family: Bacterial small subunit ribosomal RNA
Source: RNAcentral